Molecule: ribosomal RNA, 253 nt
Filed under: uncultured bacterium
Lineage: Bacteria
Description: partial 16S ribosomal RNA
Rfam family: Bacterial small subunit ribosomal RNA
Source: RNAcentral
UACGAGGGGGGCAAGCGUUGUUCGGAAUUAUUGGGCGUAAAGGGCGCGUAGGCGGUGCGGUAAGAGUGCUGUGAAAUCUUCGGGCUCAACUCGAAGUCUGCAGCGCUGACUGCCGUGCUUGAGUGUGGGAGAGGUGAGUGGAAUUCCUGGUGUAGCGGUGAAAUGCGUAGAUAUCAGGAGGAACACCUGCGGCGAAGGCGGCUCACUGGACCACAACUGACGCUGAGGCGCGAAAGCUAGGGGAGCAAACAGG